AGUGAACGCUGGCGGUAGGCCUAACACAUGCAAGUCGAACGACAGCACAGUAAGAGCUUGCUCUUACGGGUGGCGAGUGGCGGACGGGUGAGGAAUACAUCGGAAUCUACUUUUUCGUGGGGGAUAACGUAGGGAAACUUACGCUAAUACCGCAUACGACCUACGGCUGAAAGCAGGGGAUCUUCGCACCUUUCCCGUUUGAAUGAGACGAUGUCGGAUUAGCUAGUUGGUAAGGUAAAGGCCCACCAAGGCGACGAUGCGUAGCUGACCUGAGAGGAUGAUCGGCCACACUGGAACUGAGAAACGGUCCAGACUCCGACGGGAGGCAGCAGUAGGGAAUCUUCCGCAAUGGGCGAAAGCCUGACGGAGCAACGCCGCGUGAGUGAUGAAGGUCUUCGGAUCGUAAAACUCUGUUAUUAGGGAAGAACAAAUGUGUAAGUAACUAUGCACGUCUUGACGGUACCUAAUCAGAAAGCCACGGCUAACUACGUG
RNAcentral lists this ribosomal RNA (492 nucleotides) under uncultured bacterium. RNAcentral's name for it is "partial 16S ribosomal RNA". It matches the Rfam family "Bacterial small subunit ribosomal RNA", at positions 29 to 507 of the family's 1533-position model. The record is from RNAcentral.